GACGAACGCUGGCGGCGUGCCUAAUACAUGCAAGUUGAACGCUGAAGAGAGGAGCUUGCUCUUCUUGGAUGAGUUGCGAACGGGUGAGUAACGCGUAGGUAACCUGCCUUGUAGCGGGGGAUAACUAUUGGAAACGAUAGCUAAUACCGCAUAACAAUGGAUGACACAUGUCAUUUAUUUGAAAGGGGCAAUUGCUCCACUACAAGAUGGACCUGCGUUGUAUUAGCUAGUAGGUGAGGUAAUGGCUCACCUAGGCGACGAUACAUAGCCGACCUGAGAGGGUGAUCGGCCACACUGGGACUGAGACACGGCCCAGACUCCUACGGGAGGCAGCAGUAGGGAAUCUUCGGCAAUGGGGGCAACCCUGACCGAGCAACGCCGCGUGAGUGAAGAAGGUUUUCGGAUCGUAAAGCUCUGUUGUAAGUCAAGAACGGGUGUGAGAGUGGAAAGUUCACACUGUGACGGUAGCUUACCAGAAAGAGACGGCUAACUACGUG
RNAcentral lists this ribosomal RNA (497 nucleotides) under uncultured bacterium. RNAcentral describes it as "partial 16S ribosomal RNA". It matches the Rfam family "Bacterial small subunit ribosomal RNA", at positions 28 to 507 of the family's 1533-position model. The record is from RNAcentral.